This is a long non-coding RNA of Adelges cooleyi (spruce gall adelgid), 1933 nucleotides long. RefSeq lists it as uncharacterized. The transcript is spliced from 4 exons. NCBI's taxonomy places the organism in Eukaryota, Metazoa, Arthropoda, Insecta, Hemiptera, Adelgidae. The record is from RefSeq and is a predicted model, not a curated record.
GGUGAUUGGUUAACUAUGGACCACUCAAUAUCUUAGAAGAUAUUAGACUUUUUUAAUUAUUUUUUUUUUGUACUAUUAUAGUUAUUAGGUGGGACAAAUUUAAUGUAUUUUUCAAAAUUUUAACACCAUCCCUUAUGCGUUAAAACCAUAUCAACUUUAGAUUUUUAAAUGGUAACCCCCAAUUUUUUUUUGAUGAUCGUGUUUAUUUUUUUUAAAUUUAAUUUUAGGCGUAAAAACUAGCUAAAUCGAUUGAGUAGUUAACGAGCUACACAGUUUUAAAAUUAAAGGGAGUGUAAAAAAUAAAUUAAAUAUCUUGGAGACGCUAACAUAUUAAUGUGACUGCUCUCUGUUAUUAUUUAUUGACAAUUAACUUUGACAAUAGCUAUUGUAGCGUUUAAAAAUCAUAACCGUACCAAACACUAUUUACUUUAGGUAAAUAAUUCACCGAUAGUAAAUAAUAAUGAUAACCGCUAUAUCGACUGACAAAUAUACCACCACUACACACUUUUACAUUUAUUUUGUAAAAUAGUAGGUAUGUUUUAUUUGUUAUCAAUAUCUUGUGUAUAUUUUUCCAGCAUUUAGCAAUUAUUUGUUUUGGUUAAUUUGACACAUUUUGUUUAUUCAUGCGAUUUGUACGUCUUAAUUUCAUAGUAUAUUAUAAUAAUAUAGUAUCAUAACUUACUAGAGUCUAGAUCUAUGAACUUGUCAACAUUUAUUGUGUUUUAAAUAAUAACAUUGAUAUUAAAUAUCCAUAAUCAAUGUGAAUACCAAGAUGGAGUUUUGCUCAAGUGACAAGUCUAUAAAACCUAAAACCUUACUUAUAAAAUGUAUGCACAUCAAAUAUCAAAAUUAAAGUAUUAUGUCUUUGUUCUGAGAAACUUAUAAAUGUGUAGUUUUGUGUUUUAACAUAUUGGUAUCUGAAUUCAAAGAAAAAAUAUAAAAUUUUUUAUGAAAAAAUUGAAUCUUCAAUCAUCGUUUACUGAAUCAAUAAUAGUAUGUUCAAUAUUAAUAUGGACUAUCUCAACUUAAAUUGAUAUUUGUUAUUGUCUACAACUACACUACUACCAACGUCAAAUUUGGUGUAUUAUAUUAUUGUAGUCAAUCAGUCUAAACUAAUUCCAUCAAUACAUUGUCGAAUGUUGUGGUAUUCAAUUUUCAGUAAAUUUAUAGGUGUUUUAUUUUAAGUUACUGUGGCACACUAUUGCAGAUAACGGUUUUCCAUUAAGUCAGUAAGAAGAAUAAGAUGGAUUCACAAGUUCAAAUCAAAUAUUAGACAACUAUAUAUAUUUAGUUAUUCAGCUAAAAAUGUAAUUCAAUAAAAUAAUUUAAAAGUACUUUAUCAUUUUAAAAGUGACAUAAAGUUUUUAAACUCUAAGUAUUUAAACACACAUAUACUUAACAUAUCUAUAAUUAUUAUACAUUAUUUAUUAAUUAUUAAUGAUGAAUUCUUUAUUUAAUAUUAAUUUAAUCUAAAAUGCUGCUGAGAAUGUUAAUAUUUCUAAAAUAUGUUAUUGUCUUAAUCCAAAUCUUGAAAUUAUUUUCAUGAUGGCAUAGUUUUGGCAUUAGCUAUUACAGAAUUUAUUGACAAUUUUCUAGUGGUUUACGAUUAAGUUUUUAUAAGUAAUAAAGUAAAUAAAAUUAUAAAACACAAAAUAGAAAAAAAAAAUGUUAACUAUUGGAUUAAGUGUAAAAAAGUAAAUUGAAUGAAUAUACUUAUAAAUAUUUUUUAACUUAAAUAUGUAAAUGGAGAUGGAUUUCUUCUAGUGGGAAAUCAUCAAACAAACUUUACCGCCCUAGGUAACUUCCUAUAACUACAUCACUAUAUACAGCAAUAUGUUGUACCUCUAUUAUUUACAAGUUAAUUAUAGAUAUGUUAAUUUUAUUUAGUCUUAGUUUUUUAAUAUGAUUUAGCAAAUAAAAAUGUUUAUUCGUA